This 107-nucleotide ribosomal RNA is filed under the name uncultured bacterium. Its description in RNAcentral is "partial 16S ribosomal RNA". It matches the Rfam family "Bacterial small subunit ribosomal RNA", at positions 1367 to 1482 of the family's 1533-position model. The record is from RNAcentral.
UACGUUCCCGGGCCUUGUACACACCGCCCGUCACGCCAUGGAAGCUGGGGGUGCCUGAAGUCGGUGACCGCAAGGAGCUGCCUAGGGUAAAACUGGUAACUAGGGCU